GAUGAACGCUGGCGGCGUGCUUAAUACAUGCAAGUCGAGCGAACAGAUGAGGUGCUUGCUCUUCCAACGUUAGCGGCGGACGGGUCAGUAUCACAUGGUUAACCUACCUAUGAGACUAGGACAACAUCGUGAAACCGGAGCUAAUACUGGCUAAUAUAUUCAACCUCAUGGUUAGAUAGUGAAAGUCGGUUUUGCUGUCACUUAUAGAUUGUUCCGGGCCGCAUUAGAUAGUUGGUAAGAUAACGGCUUACCGAGGCAGCGAUGCGUAGCCGACCUGAGAGAGUGAUAGGCCACACUUGAAGUUAACCGCGGACAAGGCGCCUACGGGAGGCAGCAGUAGGGAAUCUUCCGCAAUGGGCGAGAACAUGACGGAGCAACACAGCGGGAGUGAUGAAGGUCUUCGGAUCGUAAAGCUCUGUUACUGGGGAAGAACAAAUGUGUAAGUAACUAUGGACGUCUUGACGGUACCUAAUCAAAAAGCCACGGCUAACUACGUG
RNAcentral lists this ribosomal RNA (497 nucleotides) under uncultured bacterium. Its description in RNAcentral is "partial 16S ribosomal RNA". It matches the Rfam family "Bacterial small subunit ribosomal RNA", at positions 28 to 507 of the family's 1533-position model. The record is from RNAcentral.